GUCCUUCGGGACUGAGGCGAGUGGCGCACGGGUGAGUAACACGUGAGCAAUCUAUCCUGUUGCGGGGGACAACGAGGGGAAACCUUCGCUAAUACCGCAUGGUCGAGAGAUCCGCCUGGGUCUUUCGGGAAACGUGGCCUCUUUACAAUGCUACGGUGGCAGGAGGAGCUCGCGGGCUAUCAGCUAGUUGGUGAGGUAACGGCUCACCAAGGCUACGACGGCUACGGGGUCUGAGAGGACGACCCCGCACAUUGGAACUGAGACACGGUCCAGACUCCUACGGGAGGCAGCAGUGGGGAAUAUUGGGCAAUGGCCGAAAGGCUGACCCAGCGACGCCGCGUGUGGGAGGAAGCCCUUCGGGGUGUAAACCACUGUCAGGAGGGACGAAAGAGCUCAUGGUGAAUAAUCAUGGGCAGUGACGGUACCUCCAAAGGAAGCACCGGCUAACUCUGUGCCAGCAGCCGCGGUAAUACAGAGGGUGCGAGCGUUGUUCGGAAUUACUGGGCGUAAAGCGCGCGCAGGCGGGUCCUGUAAGUCGGAAGUGAAUUUCGGAGCUCACUCCGAAGCUGCUUCUGAUACUGCGAAUCUAGGGACUGGUAAAGCUGGUAAAUUCCAGGUGUACCGGUGGAAUGCCUAAAUUUCUGUAAAAAUACCCGUGGCGAAGGCGGCCACCUUGGGCAAGAUCCACCCUCAGGCCCGAAAGCGUGGGGAGCAAACAGGAUUAAUACCUGGUAUCCCCCCGUAAACGAUG
This 751-nucleotide ribosomal RNA is filed under the name uncultured Klebsiella sp. RNAcentral describes it as "bacterial SSU rRNA". It matches the Rfam family "Bacterial small subunit ribosomal RNA", at positions 75 to 811 of the family's 1533-position model. Lineage: Bacteria; Pseudomonadati; Pseudomonadota; Gammaproteobacteria; Enterobacterales; Enterobacteriaceae. The record is from RNAcentral.